GUUAUAGGAUCAAGCGACUAAGUGCAUAUGGUGGAUGCCUUGGCGAUCACAGGCGAUGAAGGACGUAGUAGCCUGCGAAAAGCUACGGGGAGCUGGCAAACAAGCUUUGAUCCGUAGAUGUCCGAAUGGGGAAACCCACUCCGUAAGGAGUAUCCCUGGCUGAAUACAUAGGCCAGUGGAAGCGAACCGGGUGAACUGAAACAUCUCAGUAGCUCGAGGAAAAGAAAUCAACCGAGAUUCCGAAAGUAGUGGCGAGCGAAAUCGGAAGAGCCUUUACGUUUUAGCACGCAAGAUAGUCGAACGGAAUGGAAAGUCCGGCCGUAGCAGGUGAUAGCCCUGUAGGCGAAAUCUUGUGUGUGGAACUAAGCGUAAGAAAAGUAGGGCGGGACACGUGAAAUCCUGUUUGAAGAUGGG
RNAcentral lists this ribosomal RNA (414 nucleotides) under Achromobacter sp. ACM03. RNAcentral describes it as "partial 23S ribosomal RNA". It matches the Rfam family "Bacterial large subunit ribosomal RNA", at positions 1 to 448 of the family's 2925-position model. The record is from RNAcentral. Lineage: Bacteria; Pseudomonadati; Pseudomonadota; Betaproteobacteria; Burkholderiales; Alcaligenaceae.